UGCGUAGGCGGCAUGAUAAGUUAUUGGCGGUAAAUCGAGGCUCAACCUCGUGGAAACUAGUAAUACUGUUUUGCUUGAGUACAGGAGAGGUUAACGGAACUCCAUGUGGAGCGGUAAAAUGUGUAGAUAUAUGGAAGAACAUCAAUAACGGCGAAGGCAGUUAACUAUUCUGUUACUGACGUUGAGGCACGAAAGCGUGGGGAGCGAAAAGGAUUAGAUACCCUUGUAGUCCACGCCCUAAACGAUGAGUACUAGAUAUUGGGAACUUGAUUCUCAGUGUCGCUAGUUAACACAGUAAGUACUCCGCCUGGGUAGUACGCUCGCAAGAGUGAA
RNAcentral lists this ribosomal RNA (333 nucleotides) under uncultured bacterium. RNAcentral's name for it is "bacterial SSU rRNA". It matches the Rfam family "Bacterial small subunit ribosomal RNA", at positions 568 to 898 of the family's 1533-position model. The record is from RNAcentral.